CCUUUACAUACUUCCAAAAGUAAGUAAGCCUUUAACAGCACUACAUAGAAGUGUGUUGAAGCUCAUGGAAGAAGAGAGGUCUCUCAGAGACCUAAAAGCUAUAAAAGGAGGGAGUAUUUGCACUGUCACCAGGAGAAGGAGCCAGUCCCACUGAGGAUCUGAGGAGCUGAGAUAACAUAGCUGAGGUUCGGACUGAGUAAGUGACCCAAGUCUAAGUGGUGGCAAGAAAAACAUGAGCACCUAGUCUCAAGGAAUAACAAUCUUGACAACAAGGCCCUCAGAAGAUUGGAUGAUGCCCACUGAUACUGGUGAGAAUGGUCUCCUUUACUCAGUCUACUGAUCCACAAUCUCUUCUGAAGACAUCCUCACAGACACACCCAGAAAUAAUGUUGCAUCAGCUAUCUCGGCAUCCCUUAGUCCAGCCCACAUAAAAUUAACCAUUACACAAUUCGACCAAAGACAAAACCCAAUUAAAAAAUGG
This is a long non-coding RNA of Lynx canadensis (Canada lynx), 481 nucleotides long. RefSeq lists it as uncharacterized. The transcript has 4 exons. The record is from RefSeq and is a predicted model, not a curated record. Lineage: Eukaryota; Metazoa; Chordata; Mammalia; Carnivora; Felidae.